ACAGUACAAACUGAGCAGGCGAUGGACCUUCCUUGGGGUACAUGGGGCCGGGCCACCCGACAAGUGGCAACAGAUAGCAGUGAUGCGCACAUCUGUGGGACAGUU
Molecule: non-coding RNA, 105 nt
Filed under: Oscillibacter valericigenes
Lineage: Bacteria; Bacillati; Bacillota; Clostridia; Eubacteriales; Oscillospiraceae
Description: NiCo sequence
Rfam family: NiCo (Nickel/Cobalt) riboswitch aptamer
Source: RNAcentral